GAUGAACGCUGGCGGCGUGCUUAACACAUGCAAGUCGAACGAUGAAGCCCAGCUUGCUGGGUGGAUUAGUGGCGAACGGGUGAGUAACACGUGAGUAACCUGCCCUUAACUCUGGGAUAAGCCUGGGAAACUGGGUCUAAUACCGGACAGGAGCGCCUACCGCAUGGUGGGUGUUGGAAAGAUUUAUCGGUUUUGGAUGGACUCGCGGCCUAUCAGCUUGUUGGUGAGGUAAUGGCUCACCAAGGCGACGACGGGUAGCCGGCCUGAGAGGGUGACCGGCCACACUGGGACUGAGACACGGCCCAGACUCCUACGGGAGGCAGCAGUGGGGAAUAUUGCACAAUGGGCGAAAGCCUGAUGCAGCGACGCCGCGUGAGGGAUGACGGCCUUCGGGUUGUAAACCUCUUUCAGUAGGGAAGAAGCGAAAGUGACGGUACCUGCAGAAGAAGCACCGGCUAACUACGUG
RNAcentral lists this ribosomal RNA (466 nucleotides) under uncultured bacterium. RNAcentral's name for it is "partial 16S ribosomal RNA". It matches the Rfam family "Bacterial small subunit ribosomal RNA", at positions 28 to 507 of the family's 1533-position model. The record is from RNAcentral.